Molecule: long non-coding RNA, 283 nt
Organism: Anneissia japonica
Lineage: Eukaryota; Metazoa; Echinodermata; Crinoidea; Comatulida; Comatulidae
Exons: 2
Source: RefSeq, a predicted model, not a curated record
CCCCAAGUAAGUUAGUUCUUUGGUCAAAGCAAAGAUAUUAAAUAGAUAGCUAUAAGUUCUUUCGUUAAAGUCUUUGGUUGAGUCGAAUAGGGGAAGUAACCAUUCAUACACUUUCAAAACAACUUGAUACAUUAAUAUUGUAGAAAAUCUCUAAACACACUGCAAAUGCAGGCGUCAGUUAGUGUAUUAGCACGUGCAGUGGAGCUUGACAAGAAGAAGCGGUACACAGAAGCGGCUAUAUGUUAUCAGGAAGGGAUACAGCUGUUACUCAACGUUUUAAAAG